AGUUCAAAUUUUAAUCAUUUAUACUGUUAAAAACUGGCGUAGUUGACAGGCGUAGCUGACGGAAUAACCAGACAAGUGCACAUAGCAUGCCACAUGUACCUCAUGUCAAGAUACAAAGACCAGUUUUUAACCAUAGAAAUGGAUAAAAUUUUUAACU
Molecule: non-coding RNA, 157 nt
Organism: Gossypium raimondii (Peruvian cotton)
Lineage: Eukaryota; Viridiplantae; Streptophyta; Magnoliopsida; Malvales; Malvaceae
Source: Rfam